UCAUGCUGAAAGGCGCAGCCUUUGCACAAACACCCAUCGCCUGCUCGGCUUUGUCUCUCCAUUUGAGAGCCUGUGAAGUUCUUGUUUUGCAGAAAAAGGAAGAAUGAUUCUGAUGUAACAACAGGACUCUGGGAGCUGGAGAUUCAUGGGGGAAGAAUAAGCAAAUAGCAAGUAGCUCUGGAUAAAGUGGUGGGAACACGUCCUCCCCUGUGCACUGAGAGCAGCACAACCAACCUGCAGUUAAACAUUGACGAGUUGCCUCCUGACAGUGGAUUUCCUGGAAUCCUUUCAGCUAAGGUCAUCCUUUCAGAUGUGCUACAGAGCUGAUUUGAACACCCACUGGGAAAGUGACUGGAUCAGCAGCUCUUUGAACGUAGAAGUGGCCUUCAAGCGCUUUGCUCUCAGCUCUCACAGGGGGCCAUCGGAAAGAACGCGAGAGGAAUGAAAUCUGUUAUUUUGGUGGCUGCAUCACCCUACAAGGGAUGGUGGGCAAAGGGAAACCCACGGACCUCUCCUCUGCUCACCAAUACCGAAUCUCCUGUCUCAGUUCCAGUAGGUUUGUGUGAUGAAGACUCAACCAGGGCCCAACGUGACAUCAUUCAACCCCUCUUUCAGCAGUGGCACCUCUAUUUCUCACUCGGUACUCAAGAUGCCCAGCAGUUCCUCCACCUUCACACGCUGUAUCUCAAGGCUUUAUGGCACUCCAUUUUUGAGCCAAGAGGUUUUGACGCCACAGAAGACAUCACCUCCUGCCUGAGGCCAGAUUUUGACCAUAAAAGGGAAGGAUGGAAUGUUGGGCGACAGCCCCGAUUGGCUGAGCACCUUCUCGUGAUGGUUUCGGGGGAAAUAACCAGGUCGGAGUCAUUUUCCUCUCCCCUCCCGUCCCGAGUCAAGAAUGAAAACAAUGCGACCAAACCGUGUGGUUCACCAUUGAAACCAAGGCAGGACUUUUUGUGUCUGUGCCUCAUACUGUUCUUGGGUCCACCUGCAUGAAACCGAGCCCUCGCUUCUGUGUGUCCCAUCCAACAUCUCUGUGGCCACCGUUGGUUGAUGCUAUCUUGGAGGUGAAUGGGAGUGAUUCGGUGGCCACGUUGGCCAGGAACCCACAACUGCCUCCUGCCAACCUGACAGCCUUCUGUUGGGAGAGCACAAGAACCUCCUUCUUGUGGUUGCGUAUCCUGUAUCCAAAACCUGGCAGAACAAAGUGCCUUUGUGCUUGGACACCCCUCCCACCCAGCUGCAUUGUGGCUGCCCUCAUUAGAUCAUUUCUGCGGCUAAAAUAGGACUUCACUCUCGUGACUCAUUUGCCUAAAAUGUGCCACCAGCACUGACUUACAACCUUUAAUAAAAAUGAUAAAGAAGCUGAGAGAGUUUCCUGGAAACCUUGUCAGCCUUGAGUUGGGAGCAGAUGUUGGCAGCAAGCAAAGUAUUUUUAAGCUCUAUAAAGGCAUUUUCCUGUUUAAUGAUUACCCUGAGAAAUCUCAAGGCUGAAUCAGAGUGUUUGUGAUCAGCUUCACCCUGCUGGGAAAGCCGCACCCAGAGAAAUUCUCCUCUCCUCACCUUCAGCCAGUGAGAACAAGCUGGUGGUGUGGGUAACACUGGCCCUGAAGCCAGAAGCUGCUCCCAGUCGUCACCAACUUCUUCCUGUUUGCCCUCCAUUUGUGGCAGCUCCGGUGCCAGUCCUAGCAGGCGCUGAGCAAGCCCUGGUUAAGAAGAAAUUCUUCUAUUUGCUGCGUUCACAAGGCUUUGAGAAUAGUCUUUUUCCUACAGAAACUCUUCUCAGCCUCCUGCCUGCAGGAAUCCCUUUUGCAAGGGAAAACGUUCUCAGUGCUGGUUGUUGAGGCUCAUUGAAUGAGUUGUUGAGGCUCAUUGAAGCCUCUUCGGUACUCAGUGCAAAUCUUCUCCCCU
This is a long non-coding RNA of Lagopus leucura (white-tailed ptarmigan), 1908 nucleotides long. RefSeq lists it as uncharacterized. The transcript has 6 exons. The record is from RefSeq and is a predicted model, not a curated record. NCBI's taxonomy places the organism in Eukaryota, Metazoa, Chordata, Aves, Galliformes, Phasianidae.